AAUCAAGGCUGCAGGAGGAACAAAAUCUGCCUGUCGCUGACCCGGACGUGGUGAGCCGUCCAGGAUCUCUAGAUGGAGUGACACAGUCGCAGGCGACCCUCUAAAUGGAAGAGGGUGCUGGGGAGUUAGGGAACUGGGCCUUGUGCUGCUGGCCCUGGAGGUGGAGGAAGUGGACAGGAGCCCGGGAGUGCAGGUGACUGCGGGGCGUGGGACGCCCAGAGCAGGCCCCCAGGCUCCGAGGGACACUGUGCUUCGAGCUCCGUGAGACUGGUUUCAGACCUCUGACUGCCCCAAUUACAGGUCUCACGAAGUCACUGGGUUGCCCAGGCAGGGCAAGAACUUGUGCUCCUCCUGCCUCAGCCUCCCAGAGAGCUGAGGUAACAGUGCACCCCACGCCCCGCAGAAGUCCCUGUUUAAGCCACCAGGUUUGGGGACGCGCUCAGCCACCAUGGAACUUGAGUACCCCACUCAGCCUCCACCUCUUCAUCUGGGCAGUCCCAGCCCUUCCCAGCCCCUUGGGGACAGCAUCGAGGGC
This 535-nucleotide long non-coding RNA is filed under the name Heterocephalus glaber (naked mole-rat). RNAcentral's name for it is "lncRNA (ENSHGLG00000034543.1)". Lineage: Eukaryota; Metazoa; Chordata; Mammalia; Rodentia; Bathyergidae. The record is from RNAcentral.